CGUGUAGGCGGCUUAGCAAGUCGGGCGUGAAAGCCCUCGGCUCAACCGAGGAAGUGCACCCGAAACUGCUGAGCUUGAGUGCCGGAGAGGAUGGCGGAAUUCCCCAAGUAGAGGUGAAAUUCGUAGAUAUGGGGAGGAACACCGGUGGCGAAGGCGGCCAUCUGGACGGUAACUGACGCUGAGACGCGAAAGCGUGGGGAGCAAACA
Molecule: ribosomal RNA, 207 nt
Filed under: uncultured delta proteobacterium
Lineage: Bacteria; Deltaproteobacteria
Also listed under: 1 other name
Description: partial 16S ribosomal RNA
Rfam family: Bacterial small subunit ribosomal RNA
Source: RNAcentral